This 464-nucleotide ribosomal RNA is filed under the name uncultured Methanomicrobiales archaeon. Its description in RNAcentral is "bacterial SSU rRNA". It matches the Rfam family "Archaeal small subunit ribosomal RNA", at positions 875 to 1338 of the family's 1478-position model. The record is from RNAcentral. Lineage: Archaea; Methanobacteriati; Methanobacteriota; Methanomicrobia; Methanomicrobiales.
AGCACCACAACGGGUGGAGCCUGCGGUUUAAUCGGACUCAACGCCGGGAAACUCACCAGAUAAGACAGCUGAAUGAUAGUCGGGCUGAAGACUCUACUUGACUAGCUGAGAGGAGGUGCAUGGCCGUCGUCAGUUCGUACUGUGAAGCAUCCUGUUAAGUCAGGCAACGAGCGAGACCCACGCCAACAGUUGCCAGCUCGUCCUCCGGGAUGGUGGGGACACUGUUGGGACCGCCUCUGCUAAAGAGGAGGAAGGAAUGGGCAACGGUAGGUCAGCAUGCCCCGAAUUAUCUGGGCUACACGCGGGCUACAAUGGGUGGGACAAUGGGUAUCGACACCGAAAGGUGAAGGCAAUCUCCUAAACCCAUCCGUAGUUCGGAUUGUGGGCUGCAACUCGCCCACAUGAAGCUGGAAUCUGUAGUAAUCGUGUCUCAAAAUGGCACGGUGAAUAUGUCCCUGCUCCUU